UUCAUGGAGAGUUUGAUCCUGGCUCAGGACGAACGCUGGCGGCGUGCCUAAUACAUGCAAGUCGAGCGGACAGAUGGGAGCUUGCUCCCUGAUGUUAGCGGCGGACGGGUGAGUAACACGUGGGUAACCUGCCUGUAAGACUGGGAUAACUCCGGGAAACCGGGGCUAAUACCGGAUGCUU
Molecule: ribosomal RNA, 181 nt
Filed under: Bacillus paralicheniformis
Lineage: Bacteria; Bacillati; Bacillota; Bacilli; Caryophanales; Bacillaceae
Description: partial 16S ribosomal RNA
Rfam family: Bacterial small subunit ribosomal RNA
Source: RNAcentral